RNAcentral lists this unclassified non-coding RNA (347 nucleotides) under Hevea brasiliensis (rubber tree). The record is from RNAcentral. Lineage: Eukaryota; Viridiplantae; Streptophyta; Magnoliopsida; Malpighiales; Euphorbiaceae.
AAAAAUUAUAAAAUAUUCUUAGAGGUCCUCUACAUUGUCAUUGUAUUAAGUAAAGUGAUUUUACUUAAUUUUUUUAAGGUAAGAAUAUUUUACAAAUUUAAUCAGCUAACUUCAUCAAGACACAAAUUACAAAACUUGAGUUAGGAACUACCUAUAUAAAUUUUGAUAUUUAGAACGUAUCCGAAACGUCUAAAAAUGCUAAAAAUGACUUUAAACACAACUACCUUCUAAGACAGCCCGUCGUACACCCAAACAGGGUCAAAAACUCGGUUUAAAGUUCGGUGAGCCAUGAUCGAUCUGAUCGCACAUAAAAAAAAGUUCAUAAAUUAUUAAUAAUUAUCAUAUAA